UACGUAGGUGGCAAGCGUUGUCCGGAUUUACUGGGCGUAAAGAGCGCGCAGGCGGUCGGAUUAGUCGCGUGUGAAAGCCCCCGGCUCAACUGGGGAGGGUCACGCGAUACUGUUCGACUCGAAGGCAGGAGAGGGAAGUGGAAUUCCCGGUGUAGUGGUGAAAUGCGUAGAUAUCGGGAGGAACACCAGUGGCGAAGGCGACUUACUGGACACACAUUGACGCUGAGGUGCGAAAGCGUGGGGAGCAAACAGG
This 253-nucleotide ribosomal RNA is filed under the name uncultured bacterium. RNAcentral's name for it is "partial 16S ribosomal RNA". It matches the Rfam family "Bacterial small subunit ribosomal RNA", at positions 524 to 776 of the family's 1533-position model. The record is from RNAcentral.